AGCAGCCGCGGUAAUUCCAGCUCCAAUAGCGUAUAUUAAAGUUGUUGCAGUUAAAAAGCUCGUAGUUGAAUUUCGGGAUCAAUACGUCGGUCGUGCUUCGGUACGUACUGGCGUCAUUGGUUUCUCCCUUCCGACGAACCAUGAUGUCAUUAACUUGGUGUCAUGGGAAAUCAGGACUGUUACCUUGAAAAAAUUAGAGUGUUUAAAGCAGGCUCACGCUUGAAUACAUUAGCAUGGAAUAAUGAAAUAGGACGUUCGAUCCUAUUUUGUUGGUUUCUAGGAUCAACGUAAUGAUUAAUAGGGAUAGUUGGGGGCAUUAGUAUUCAAUUGUCAGAGGUGAAAUUCUUGGAUUUAUUGAAGACUAACUACUGCGAAAGCAUUUGCCAAGGAUGUUUUCAUUAAUCAAGAACGAAAGUUAGGGGAUCGAAGACGAUCAGAUACCGUCGUAGUCUUAACCAUAAACUAUGCCGACUAGGGAUCGGAUGAUGUUAAUUUUUAAUGACUCAUUCGGCGUCCG
RNAcentral lists this ribosomal RNA (517 nucleotides) under uncultured Glomus. Its description in RNAcentral is "SSU rRNA". It matches the Rfam family "Eukaryotic small subunit ribosomal RNA", at positions 569 to 1089 of the family's 1831-position model. Lineage: Eukaryota; Fungi; Glomeromycota; Glomeromycetes; Glomerales; Glomeraceae. The record is from RNAcentral.